Molecule: transfer RNA, 84 nt
Filed under: Echinostoma caproni
Lineage: Eukaryota; Metazoa; Platyhelminthes; Trematoda; Plagiorchiida; Echinostomatidae
Rfam family: tRNA
About the family: Transfer RNA (tRNA) molecules are approximately 80 nucleotides in length. Their secondary structure includes four short double-helical elements and three loops (D, anti-codon, and T loops). Further hydrogen bonds mediate the characteristic L-shaped molecular structure. tRNAs have two regions of fundamental functional importance: the anti-codon, which is responsible for specific mRNA codon recognition, and the 3' end, to which the tRNAs corresponding amino acid is attached (by aminoacyl-tRNA synthetases). tRNAs cope with the degeneracy of the genetic code in two manners: having more than one tRNA (with a specific anti-codon) for a particular amino acid; and 'wobble' base-pairing, i.e. permitting non-standard base-pairing at the 3rd anti-codon position.
Source: Rfam by way of RNAcentral
GGAUUCGUAGUUCAGUUGGUAGAGCGUGCGCCGUACAAAAGCGUAGGUGGCGUCCAUGCGUGGCUUCAAAUCCCACCGAGGCUA